GAUGAACGCUGGCGGCGUGCUUAACACAUGCAAGUCGAACGGAAAGGCCUUGCUUUUGUGGGGUGCUCGAGUGGCGAACGGGUGAGUAACACGUGAGUAACCUGCCCUUGACUUUGGGAUAACUUCAGGAAACUGGGGCUAAUACCGGAUAGGAGCUCCUGCUGCAUGGUGGGGGUUGGAAAGUUUCGGCGGUUGGGGAUGGACUCGCGGCUUAUCAGCUUGUUGGUGGGGUAGUGGCUUACCAAGGCUUUGACGGGUAGCCGGCCUGGGAGGGUGACCGGCCACAGUGGGACUGAGAUACGGCCCAGACUCCAACGGGAGGCAGCAGUGGGGAGUAUUGCACAGUGAGCGGAAGCCUGAGGCAGCAACGCCGCGUGCGGGAUGACGGCCUUCGGGUUGUAAACCGCUUUCGCCUGUGACGAUGCGUGAGUGACGGUAAUGGGUAAAGAAGCACCGGCUAACUACGUG
RNAcentral lists this ribosomal RNA (468 nucleotides) under uncultured bacterium. RNAcentral's name for it is "partial 16S ribosomal RNA". It matches the Rfam family "Bacterial small subunit ribosomal RNA", at positions 28 to 507 of the family's 1533-position model. The record is from RNAcentral.